GUCGCAAUGACCAGGUGGUUAAGGCGUUGGACUAGAAAUCCAAUGGGGUUUCCCCGUGUAAGUUCAAAUCCUGCUAGCGACG
RNAcentral lists this transfer RNA (82 nucleotides) under Schistosoma margrebowiei. It matches the Rfam family "tRNA". Rfam says of the family: Transfer RNA (tRNA) molecules are approximately 80 nucleotides in length. Their secondary structure includes four short double-helical elements and three loops (D, anti-codon, and T loops). The record is from Rfam by way of RNAcentral. Lineage: Eukaryota; Metazoa; Platyhelminthes; Trematoda; Strigeidida; Schistosomatidae.